Macaca mulatta (Rhesus monkey) is the source of this 700-nucleotide non-coding RNA. The record is from RefSeq and is a predicted model, not a curated record. NCBI's taxonomy places the organism in Eukaryota, Metazoa, Chordata, Mammalia, Primates, Cercopithecidae.
GGGAGAGGAGCCCAGCCCUGGAAGUCCACAGUGUUCCAUUCGGUGAUCAGCACAGAACACAGAGGACUCACCAUGGAGUCUGGGCUGAGCUGGGUUUUCCUUGUUGCUAUUUUAAGAGGUGUCCAGUGUGAGGUGCAGCUGGUGGAGUCUGGAGGAGGCUUGGUCCAGCCUGGGGGGUCCCUGAGACUCUCCUGUGCAGCCUCUGGAUUCACCUUCAGUAGCUAUGGCAUGAGCUGGGUCCGCCAGGCUCCAGGGAAGGGGCUGGAGUGGGUCUCAUACUAUUAAUAGUGGUGGUGGUAGCACAUACUACGCAGACUCCGUGAAGGGCCGAUUCACCAUCUCCAGAGACAACUCAAAGAACACGCUCUCCCUGCAAAUGAACAGCCUGAGAGCUGAGGACACGGCCGUGUAUUACUGUGCGAAAGACACAGUGAGGGGAAGUCAGUGUGAGCCCAGACACAAACCUCCCUGCAGGAGCGCUGGGGAAAUCAGUGGCAGGGGGCGCUCAGGACCCACUGAUCAGAGUCAACCCAGAGGCAGGCCUCAAGCCCUUUCGUGGCGCUCAGGUGGGUCUCAGGCUGUGGCUGCCGCAGUCACGCGGGAGAGGCUGGUGGGACUUUCUUCACUCCUCCUCACUCAGGACCCUCCACUGUGUUGCAUGGAGACUCAUCUGGAAAUGCAAGUUGCCAGUGGGGACUGA